AUCAAGAUCAUCCAUGAACCACUUCUUCCAGACUAAGCAAUCUAUUAUUCUAUUAGUACUAGGCUGAGUGUUCACAACUUGUUUUGGGUUUUUUGUGGUGUUUAUUUUUUUUUUUCUUUUCACCCUAACAUUCUGCUUAGAGGUCAGAAACAUCAGCUUUCACAUUUACUUGAGUUCCACUUUAACUCUGUGUUGUUGGUGACACUCCAGGUUCUGCAGCUCAGGUCCAGAGUAAGAAGCUUUUAGCAUCCGCUCAGCAUGGGGAUUACCAGCAGCAUCCUUUGAAUUUUGACCCAGGAAGCAGCAAUGGAACAGGAGGAAACGCUCAAAGACCAAAGACAGUGCCUAGCAGAUGGAAGGAGGGAAGGGCAGAUAGGCUAUUAGCACACCCAAAUGAAAAGUCUCUUGCUACUGUCUUCACGCAACUACAGAAACAAAGACUGGUCCAGAAGUAAACCUAAAUGUAUUUUUAAUCAGUCCAGGGCAUUUUAGAAAAUGCCACUGAACUGGCAACCUUGAAGCAAGAGAAAAACAAUUUAUAUACAAAUCAAAGAGAGGCAGUAAUACUCCAGUGCUGUGCAUAUGCACUUCAGCAUACUUGGAUGCAGCAUUCAAUACCAGCUCCAGUCAGUUAAUCUGCUAAUCCAUUUUAGGUACUGGGUGAUGGAGAUCCUCAUUCUGAGCAAGAGCAGCACUGCACGUCCUUCCUUCACAGACAAUGCCGCACAGCACAGAAAGGCAAGGAUAUCAGUCAAAACUAAAAGGCUUCCUUUUAUUAUGGUAACCUCAGACUGUGGUGGUGCAAAGCACAGCGAAGUACUUAAAGCAAAAGCAUUGGGUCUGGCGUUUGGGGUUUUCUUUGAUCAGUUUUGGUUUUUUUUUUAACUGCUUUCCUAUUGCAGCUCCUGUGUAAAAACGUGUAAGUUUAUCUGCAUUUCUCUUGCAUGGAAAAAAGCUUGCUUUUAUAGCCUAGCAAAAAAAAUGA
Aquila chrysaetos chrysaetos is the source of this 985-nucleotide long non-coding RNA. RefSeq lists it as uncharacterized. Lineage: Eukaryota; Metazoa; Chordata; Aves; Accipitriformes; Accipitridae. The record is from RefSeq and is a predicted model, not a curated record. The transcript is spliced from 2 exons.